Molecule: ribosomal RNA, 118 nt
Filed under: Pteropus alecto (black flying fox)
Lineage: Eukaryota; Metazoa; Chordata; Mammalia; Chiroptera; Pteropodidae
Also listed under: 1 other name
Source: RNAcentral
GUCUACAGCCAUGCCACCCUGAACAUGCGCUAUCUCGUCUGAUCUCAGAAGCUAAGCAGGGUCAGGCUGGUUAGUACUUGGAUGGGAGACCACCUAGGAAUACCAGGUGCUAUAGGCA